RNAcentral lists this ribosomal RNA (426 nucleotides) under uncultured bacterium. Its description in RNAcentral is "bacterial SSU rRNA". It matches the Rfam family "Bacterial small subunit ribosomal RNA", at positions 917 to 1344 of the family's 1533-position model. The record is from RNAcentral.
GGGCCCGCACAAGCGGUGGAGUAUGUGGUUUAAUUCGAUGCAACGCGAAGAACCUUACCAGGGUUUGACAUCCUGCGAAUCUCUUGGAAACGAGAGAGUGCCUUCGGGAACGCAGUGACAGGUGGUGCAUGGCUGUCGUCAGCUCGUGUCGUGAGAUGUUGGGUUAAGUCCCGCAACGAGCGCAACCCACGUCUUUAGUUGCCAGCAUUUAGUUGGGCACUCUAGAGAGACCGCCGGUGAUAAACCGGAGGAAGGUGUGGAUGACGUCAAGUCAUCAUGCCCCUUACAUCCUGGGCUACACACGUACUACAAUGCUACGGACAAAGAGCAGCAAGUUCGCGAGGACAAGCAAAUCUCAUAAACCGUGGCUCAGUUCAGAUCGUAGGCUGCAACUCGCCUACGUGAAGGAGGAAUCGCUAGUAAUCG